Molecule: ribosomal RNA, 466 nt
Filed under: uncultured bacterium
Lineage: Bacteria
Description: partial 16S ribosomal RNA
Rfam family: Bacterial small subunit ribosomal RNA
Source: RNAcentral
GACGAACGCUGGCGGUGUGCCUAACACAUGCAAGUCGAACGGUAAGGCCCUUUCGGGGGUACACGAGUGGCGAACGGGUGAGUAACACGUGAGUAACCUGCCCUCAUCUCUGGGAUAACAGUCGGAAACGGUUGCUAAUACUGGAUAUGAGCUUGCAAGGCAUCUUGUGGGUUGGAAAGAUUUUUUUGGUUGGGGAUGGACUCGCGGCCUAUCAGCUUGUUGGUGAGGUAGUGGCUCACCAAGGCUUCGACGGGUAGCCGGCCUGAGAGGGCGACCGGCCACAUUGGGACUGGGAUACGGCCCAAACUCCUACGGGAGGCAGCAGGGGGGAAUAUUGCACAAUGGACGGAAGUCUGAUGCAGCAACGCCGCGGGCGGGAUGACGGGCUUCGGGUUGUAAACCGCUUUCAAUUGUGACGAAGCUUUUUGUGACGGUAGCAGUAGAAGAAGCACCGGCUAACUACGUU